Molecule: ribosomal RNA, 465 nt
Filed under: Vreelandella stevensii
Lineage: Bacteria; Pseudomonadati; Pseudomonadota; Gammaproteobacteria; Oceanospirillales; Halomonadaceae
Description: partial 16S ribosomal RNA
Rfam family: Bacterial small subunit ribosomal RNA
Source: RNAcentral
CCUACGGGAGGCAGCAGUGGGGAAUAUUGGACAAUGGGGGGAACCCUGAUCCAGCCAUGCCGCGUGUGUGAAGAAGGCCCUCGGGUUGUAAAGCACUUUCAGUGAGGAAGAACGCCUGGUGGUUAAUACCCAUCAGGAAAGACAUCACUCACAGAAGAAGCACCGGCUAACUCCGUGCCAGCAGCCGCGGUAAUACGGAGGGUGCGAGCGUUAAUCGGAAUUACUGGGCGUAAAGCGCGCGUAGGUGGCUUGAUAAGCCGGUUGUGAAAGCCCCGGGCUCAACCUGGGAACGGCAUCCGGAACUGUCAAGCUAGAGUGCAGGAGAGGAAGGUAGAAUUCCCGGUGUAGCGGUGAAAUGCGUAGAGAUCGGGAGGAAUACCAGUGGCGAAGGCGGCCUUCUGGACUGACACUGACACUGAGGUGUGAAAGCGUGGGUAGCAAACAGGAUUAGAUACCCCUGUAGUC